Echinops telfairi (small Madagascar hedgehog) is the source of this 71-nucleotide non-coding RNA. NCBI's taxonomy places the organism in Eukaryota, Metazoa, Chordata, Mammalia, Afrosoricida, Tenrecidae. The record is from Ensembl.
AGUAAAAUGGCUGAGUAAUAGGCAUUAGACUGUAAAUCUAAAGACAGGAGGGAGGCUCCUCCUUUUUACUA